Molecule: long non-coding RNA, 2994 nt
Filed under: Manihot esculenta (cassava)
Lineage: Eukaryota; Viridiplantae; Streptophyta; Magnoliopsida; Malpighiales; Euphorbiaceae
Description: long non-coding RNA (MESC_LNC002593)
Source: RNAcentral
CCCAAUGCUGGAUGGGAAGCUGCCAUGAAUCCUCAAUUUUCCAAUUACACUGUGAGGCUUAACUCAUUGCAUAUUGAUAAUAUAUUUAGUCCUUCUAUAGAUUUGUUCCGAGUUCUCAUGUAGGCAGACUCUAGUAUCUGAUUUGAAAUAUUUUGAUACCUUGAUGCACAGGUUGGUGAGUUCAAGUAUCUCCUGGGAGCCAAGCCAACUCCUAAAAAGGAGUUGAGGGGUUUUCCUGUUAUAAGUCAUCCAAGAUCCUUGAAGUUGCCAAAAGAAUUUGACGCAAGAAAAGCUUGGCCACAAUGUAGCACAAUUGGAAGAAUUCUUGGUCAGUUGCUUAUUAGUUCUAUAUUUUGCUGUAUCUUUUUUCCCUUUUUUGAAGGUGCUGAUGUUUUCCUCAAUAUUUGGCUAAUGGUGGAUUACUUUCCUAAUAAAAGAUCAGGUAAAAUCUUAUUUUACUUUUCUCUUAAUCAAUUCAUUUAAGUGAGCUCUACAUGUUCUCAGCACACCUGUAUUUUGUAUUCCAGGGUCAUUGCGGAUCUUGUUGGGCAUUUGGCGCAGUUGAAUCACUAUCUGAUCGCUUUUGCAUCCAUUUUGGCAUGGUACUUGAAUAGUGAUAGCGAUUGUCGAAACCGUCAAAAAUAAACCUAUUAAACAAUUAACUUGCAGAUAGUGGCAAUAGGGUCGAACCACAUGGAAUUGACACCAAAGAUUUUUCUAAUAAUGACUAAGGCAAAUAAAUGACAAAUAAAUAAAAGAGGGGGUUUUGUUUUGAUGAAUUAAAUCUAGAAAGCAAGAGAAAUUUAAAUAAAUGAGAAUAUCAAUGGGAAAGAGAUUCUAGUUGAAAUAUGAGUUUAAUUCAGCUUGUUCAGAAUUGAUCAUUGACUAUUUAAGACUCCUAUUUUAUUUCAAUAAAUUAGUUUUGGUUGUGGAAACGCUUCUCACAACCAAAUUCCUCCUUAGUUCUAGUUUGAUUAGGAAACGUUCACUAAUCAAACACUAAUCAAUAAGUUGCCAAGAAACGUCCUUAGGGCAUUUAGCAUCGAACAACUGUUGACUGCAUUAAGACUUAAAGAAACCCAAUUCUAUCCUUGCCAACCGCGUGGUCAAGUCUAGAUUAUGCAACUGAUUAUAUUUGUGUUCAAAUCAUCUAAGCAAUUACGGAUCUAAAUCAUUCAAACAAUUUAUUACUCAAGCAAGCAAUGGACCCUUAUUGAUUCUAAAAGCAAAGUAAUAAUUAUAGAAAAGAUCAAGUUGCAUAAAUAUUGAAAGCAAAUAAGAGUUUAACAAUGGAGUUUUAAAUCUCCCAAUUCAUCACAAAUCUAAAUUUCCUCAACUUCAACUAGAAAAGAAGAAAAUUAGCCACUCAUGGUGGGCAAAAUACACAAAAGGAAGAAGAAAGGAAGAGAAGAAGAGACUGCUGCAAUUCUCCUGCUGAAUUCUACAGAUUUCCGAAGGUGGGAGAAAAUGCCUUUGCUGGUUUGGAGGCUGCCUUUUUAUAGCUGGAGAGUCCAAGUUCAAUUAGGGUUUGGAAUCCCUAUUUUGACUUGGUUUUGAGGUCUUUGAUUCCUCUUUCUCUUCUUGUAUUUUGUUGUAGAUGGAAUUCUCUUGGUAGAAGGACAUCCUUGUGGCUUUUGGAUUUGAGCUGGCAGUGUUUGAAGUGUUUUUGGGCUUCUUUUCUUUUUAAAUCUGAUUUUUUUUCCUUUUUCCCGCUCUGUUGUGUCAAUGUGAUUGGGGUGGGUGAUUUGGGCAAAUCACUUGCCCAAAUCGCUUUCUGUGAGUCAGUCCAGUUUUUUUGUCUCUGCGAGUGAUUUGGCCAGUCUCUGCUAGUGAUUUGGCCAAAUCACUCUGGCCCAAUCACUUUUUCAGUCUUUUCUUCACUUUUUUUUCAAUUUUUCAAUUUCUUCAUUUUCUGUAAAAACAAGAUAAAAAUCAUAAAUUAAGCUGAAAAAUGUGUAAAUAAGCAAUGAUAAAGAUAAUAAAAAUGUGGCUAAUUUAUGUUUGAUCAAAUAGCCUGAGCAAGUUGGCUAAUUAUAAUGUCCAGUACUAACAGAGAUCAAAUCCUAGUUAUGUUGAAUUACUAUCUGAUCGCUUUUACUUGCAGAACAUAUCUUUGUCUGUCAAUGAUCUCUUGGCAUGCUGUGGCUUUUUGUGUGGAGCUGGUUGUAAUGGAGGGUAUCCGAUCUAUGCAUGGAGAUACUUUGUCCACCAUGGUGUUGUUACUGAAGAGGUACAGAUUUCUGUGUUUGCCUAUUAUCUGGACUGUACAUAAAAUUGCUUAGUGGCAGCAAGUCAAGGGUCUCAUGGUUUCAUGUCUCUUUUCUGAUAUAAGGAUUUGUUGAGGAUCAUUGCUUUAAGUUGAACAGCUUCCUGUCUUGGUUGAUGUGCUUUUCUAAUAACGAACAAAUUUUCCAUCUCACAGUGUGACCCGUACUUUGAUGAUAUUGGCUGUUCCCACCCUGGCUGUACACCUGAAUUCCCUACGCCAAAGUGUGCAAGAAAGUGUGUUGAUAAGAACCAGCUCUGGAGACGAUCAAAGCAUUAUGGUGUCAGCGCAUAUAGAAUUAGUUCUGAUCCCCAAGAUAUUAUGGCUGAGGUUCAUACAAAUGGACCAGUAGAGGUUGCUUUCACUGUUUAUGAGGUAAAUUAUGCACGUGAUGAAUUCUUGUUUGCUUGCAUUUUCCGCACAUCUUUCUAACCGAGUAUAAGUUAGCUUCUUUUGCUAUUCCCAUUCUAAUUUUUUGAGCUCAAGAAAUCAUGAAUCAGUGCCACACGUGUAGAAACAACCUCAAUGAGAGCUUACGCAAACUUAACUUUUGAAAUACAAGCUUGUCCUUUUUAAUGUAUGCUUUACUUUUUGUUUUAUGCUGAACGCAAGCUGACUAUAAUCAAAUAUUGAUAAGUUGUGCAUUGCACAAAGACAGCUGUGGCUGCAAGUAUUUGGUUGUAAUAGUUUCUUUACCAUUUUACAGGAUUUUGCUCAUUAUAGAUCUG